This is a long non-coding RNA of Lacerta agilis (Sand lizard), 159 nucleotides long. RefSeq lists it as uncharacterized. The record is from RefSeq and is a predicted model, not a curated record. The transcript is spliced from 3 exons. NCBI's taxonomy places the organism in Eukaryota, Metazoa, Chordata, Lepidosauria, Squamata, Lacertidae.
UUAUCUCGGCAGAGCUCAGCAAACUGUAGAGGCAAGAGGGACGUAGCAGCUCAAGAUGCAUUCAAAGCUUUCAUCAGAAAGAUUCAGGAAAAAGAGCACUUCCUGUAAUCAGAAAGGCACGGAGUGUGCAAAGUGUUCUAACCAGAAAGACUCGAAGUG